GAUGAACGCUGGCGGCGUGCUUAACACAUACAAGUCGAACGGAAAGGCCCAAGCUUGCUUGGGUACUCGAGUGGCGAACGGGUGAGUAACACGUGGGUGAUCUGCCCUGCACUUCGGGAUAAGCCUGGGAAACUGGGUCUAAUACCGGAUAGGACGAUGGUUUGGAUGCCAUUGUGGAAAGUUUUUUCGGUGUGGGAUGAGCUCGCGGCCUAUCAGCUUGUUGGUGGGGUAAUGGCCUACCAAGGCGUCGACGGGUAGCCGGCCUGAGAGGGUGUACGGCCACAUUGGGACUGAGAUACGGCCCAGACUCCUACGGGAGGCAGCAGUGGGGGAUAUUGCACAAUGGGCGCAAGCCUGAUGCAGCGACGCCGCGUGGGGGAUGACGGCCUUCGGGUUGUAAACUCCUUUCGCUAGGGACGAAGCGUUUUUGUGACGGUACCUGGAGAAGAAGCACCGGCUAACUACGUG
Molecule: ribosomal RNA, 468 nt
Filed under: uncultured bacterium
Lineage: Bacteria
Description: partial 16S ribosomal RNA
Rfam family: Bacterial small subunit ribosomal RNA
Source: RNAcentral